Molecule: unclassified non-coding RNA, 260 nt
Filed under: fungal sp.
Lineage: Eukaryota; Fungi
Also listed under: 2 other names
Description: partial contains small subunit ribosomal RNA, internal transcribed spacer 1, and 5.8S ribosomal RNA
Rfam family: Eukaryotic small subunit ribosomal RNA (bases 1-46)
Source: RNAcentral
AAGUCGUAACAAGGUUUCCGUAGGUGAACCUGCGGAAGGAUCAUUAUUGAAUAAACUUUUCAAGUUUUUUUCAUAUUCCCUGUUUAUAUUAAAUACGUUCCUUCCAUCGGACAGGUCUAUUAGGACCCUCUAGCUUGGGCAAAUGCUUUUGCUGGAGAGUUGCCGGUGGCGUUUCUAAAAACAAAAACUUUUAUAUUACGAAAUGUCUGAAUAUAUUUUUAAAUUAAAUAAAACUUUCAACAACGGAUCUCUAGGCUCUU